UACGGAGGGUGCGAGCGUUGUCCGGAAUCACUGGGCGUAAAGGGCGCGUAGGCGGCGCGGGUAGUCAUCGGUGAAAGUUCAGGGCUCAACUCUGAAUCGGCCGGUGAUACUCCCGUGCUCGAGCACUGUAGAGGCAGGUGGAAUUCCGGGUGUAGCGGUGGAAUGCGUAGAGAUCCGGAAGAACACCGAAGGCGAAGGCAGUGUCCUGGCGAGUGACUGACGCUGAGGUGCGAAAGCCAGGGGAGCGAACGGG
RNAcentral lists this ribosomal RNA (253 nucleotides) under uncultured bacterium. Its description in RNAcentral is "partial 16S ribosomal RNA". It matches the Rfam family "Bacterial small subunit ribosomal RNA", at positions 524 to 776 of the family's 1533-position model. The record is from RNAcentral.